This 170-nucleotide ribosomal RNA is filed under the name uncultured bacterium. RNAcentral's name for it is "partial 16S ribosomal RNA". It matches the Rfam family "Bacterial small subunit ribosomal RNA", at positions 338 to 525 of the family's 1533-position model. The record is from RNAcentral.
UCUACGGGACGCAGCAGUGGGGAAUAUUGCACAAUGGGCGAAAGCCUGAUGCAGCAACGCCGCGUGAGCGAUGAAGGCCUUCGGGUCGUAAAGCUCUGUCCUCAAGGAAGAUAAUGACGGUACUUGAGGAGGAAGCCCCGGCUAACUACGUGCCAGCAGCCGCGGUAAUA